CGGACGGGUGAGGAACGCGUGAGAACCUGCCUCAAGGUCGGGGACAACAGUUGGAAACGACUGCUAAUACCGGAUGAGCCGAAUAGGUAAAAGAUUUAUCGCCUAGAGAGGGGCUCGCGUCUGAUUAGCUAGAUGGUGAGGUAAAGGCUUACCAUGGCGACGAUCAGUAGCUGGUCUGAGAGGAUGAGCAGCCACACUGGGACUGAGACACGGCCCAGACUCCUACGGGAGGCAGCAGUGGGGAAUUUUCCGCAAUGGGCGAAAGCCUGACGGAGCAUACCGCGUGAGGGAGGAAGGCUCUUGGGUUGUAAACCUCAAAACUUAGGGAAGAAAAAAAUGACGGUACCUAAUGUAAGCAUCGGCUAACUCCGUGCCAGCAGCCGCGGUAAUACGGAGGAUGCAAGCGUUAUCCGGAAUCAUUGGGCGUAAAGAGUCCGUAGGUGGCACUUCAAGUCUGCUUUCAAAGACCGAAGCUCAACUUCGGAAAGGGAGUGGAAACUGAAGAGCUAGAGUAUAGUAGGGGUAGAGGGAAUUCCUAGUGUAGCGGUGAAAUGCGUAGAGAUUAGGAAGAACACCAGUGGCGAAGGCGCUCUACUGGGCAUAUACUGACACUGAGGGACGAAAGCUAGGGGAGCGAAAGGGAUUAGAUACCCCUGUAGUCCUAGCGGUAACGAUGGAUACUAGGCGUAGUGCUGUUAGAAAGGACUGUGCCGAAGCUAACGCGUUAAGUAUCCCGCCUGGGGAGUACGCACGCAAGUGUGAAACUCAAAAGGAAUUGACGGGGACCCGCACAAGCGGUGGAGUAUGUGGUUUAAUUCGAUGCAACGCGAAGAACCUUACCAAGGCUUGACA
This 852-nucleotide ribosomal RNA is filed under the name Cyanobacterium aponinum QUCCCM129. Its description in RNAcentral is "bacterial SSU rRNA". It matches the Rfam family "Bacterial small subunit ribosomal RNA", at positions 99 to 986 of the family's 1533-position model. Lineage: Bacteria; Bacillati; Cyanobacteriota; Cyanophyceae; Chroococcales; Geminocystaceae. The record is from RNAcentral.